GGGGCUGAAGCAGGUCCCAAGGGUAUGGCUGUUCGCCAUUUAAAGAGGUACGCGAGCUGGGUUUAGAACGUCGUGAGACAGUUCGGUCCCUAUCUACCGUGGGCGCUGGAAAUUUGAGAGGAUCUGCUCCUAGUACGAGAGGACCAGAGUGGACGAACCUCUGGUGUACCGGUUGUGACGCCAGUCGCAUCGCCGGGUAGCUAUGUUCGGAAGGGAUAACCGCUGAAAGCAUCUAAGCGGGAAGCCUACCUCAAGAUAAGAUUUCCCUAGGACUUUAUGUCCUCUAAAGAGCCGUUCGAGACUAGGACGUUGAUAGGUUGGAUGUGGAAGCAUAGUGAUAUGUGAAGCUGACCAAUACUAAUUGCUCGUGAGGCUUGACUAUACAACACCCAAGCAGUUG
Molecule: ribosomal RNA, 400 nt
Filed under: Acinetobacter baumannii
Lineage: Bacteria; Pseudomonadati; Pseudomonadota; Gammaproteobacteria; Moraxellales; Moraxellaceae
Description: bacterial LSU rRNA
Rfam family: Bacterial large subunit ribosomal RNA
Source: RNAcentral